This is a long non-coding RNA of Thalassophryne amazonica, 1516 nucleotides long. RefSeq lists it as uncharacterized. The record is from RefSeq and is a predicted model, not a curated record. NCBI's taxonomy places the organism in Eukaryota, Metazoa, Chordata, Actinopteri, Batrachoidiformes, Batrachoididae. The transcript is spliced from 3 exons.
CUUUGACCCCGAUUUGUGUGUCAAACAUUUGCAGACGUGAAUGUUGACGGCGCUCACUGUGCACAGGACAAAGCAGAAGACAAACAAGAUGGAAACUACGAUGUUUUGCCACGUGGAACUAGAAAAUGCAAAACGUCUGAGAAUAUGUACGAUGUCCCUGCCUGUUACUGGAGGGCUGCCGACCAACAAGACGAAGAUCCCAAUGACGGCGUCUAUGACGUACCAAGCUGCCUUUUGAGGAAGAUGUGUGAUCACACUUUGGGUAAAUUUAUCUUCAAGUUGCAUCAAACACAUCUGAUGAGUCAGUCAUUUAAUUCUUACACAUAUUACCACACAUGACACCUGCAAACGUUUUCCUCCUGAUUGUCUCGAGCUUCAGCUCUGUCGUUGCAGAGGAGCAGCUGGGGGAGACGAGGAGUCCAAUGGAGGAUGGGAGGUGCAAGUCGGUGACCUCAGAGUCACCGUACCUGUGUCUGUAGGAACCGACCAUGUUCUUUGUAAGGUCGCCAUCACUCCUCGUCACAUACACACACUCACUCAGUCAAACCCCCCCCAAAACAACAGAGGAUCAACAGUGGUAUUUAUUUCACAUAUUCCAUACCCAACAACCGCAUCAUCGGUUUGUUUUUAAUUCCACAUCACGCUGCAGGUCAGUCACACGCUGUUCACUGCAGAUAAACACAUUUACACCACAUUUGGUUCACAGUUUAAACAAUAGACCACCAGUCUACAUAUUAGUGUGUUACACUUUGGAGUGGUUUCACAGAAAUGCUCUAACUCAUCUUUUCAAAACAGAAAAUAACCCCUUUUUGGGUCUCAGAUGAGGUAUGAAUUCUAACAUCUCUGUAUGUAGGCAUGCAGUGGCUUUCUCCCCAAUUACCAAUAAUUAUACUCCUCUUAAAUGUGUUACUUUUGUUGAGGAUAUUGUUCUACAGGAUAUUAAUAUGAACCUUUAGACUACAAUUUCUUGAUAUAUAUGAUCAGAAAUCAGUCACAUAGUGCUGCUCGCUGUGCUGGUGAAUGAAAAAAAAAAAAAAAAAAACCAUAUGCAAAAAUUACAGUCCCAUAUAUUUACAAUACCGCCCUUCCUUAUUUAAAAAAAAAAAAAAAAAAGACUUCUAAUAUAACCAGGCAUGCACAUAACUGAUGCUCAGGAGCUUAUGCAUGCCAAAAAUACAUGAUGUGCAGCAGAAAACAAACACUUUGAAAACUAUGACAGAUUGUGAGAAAAGCAUUUCCCUCCACGUUUUCUGUUGUAUAUUAUGUGUUCUUAGCACACAUGAGCACCAGUUAUGUGCACAGCUGAAUAUACCUUUACAUUACACACAGGAGUAUCAACUGCACAAAAACAAUAGUACGCUUAGCCAGUAUGCAAUCUUCAAGUACACUUUGCUCUCUGUAUAUAUGUAUAUAUAUAUAUAUAUAUAUAUAUAUAUAUAUAUAUAUAUAUAUAUAUAUACACACACACACAGUAGUGUUCAGAAAACUAGUAGUGCUAUGUGACUAAAAAGAUUAA